Molecule: ribosomal RNA, 479 nt
Filed under: uncultured bacterium
Lineage: Bacteria
Description: SSU rRNA
Rfam family: Bacterial small subunit ribosomal RNA
Source: RNAcentral
AGAAUCAACGCUGGCGGCGUGCCUCAGACAUGCAAGUCGAACGCGAAAGUCCCCUUCGGGGGAUGAGUAGAGUGGCGCUCGGGUGAGUAACACGUAGGUAAUCUACCUUUGGGUGGGGAAUAACAGUCGGAAACGACUGCUAAUACCGCAUAGUGCAGCGGCACCUAAUGGUGACAGUUGUUAAAGCAUUUAUGUGCUUGAAGAGGAGCUUGCGGCAGAUUAGCUAGUUGGUAAGGUAAUGGCUUACCAAGGCGACGAUCUGUAGCCGACCUGAAAGGGUGGUCGGUCACACUGACACUGAAUAACGGGUCAGACUCCUACGGGAGGCAGCAGUCGGGAAUUUUGGGCAAUGGGCGAAAGCCUGACCCAGCAACGCCGCGUGAAGGAUGAAGUAUUUCGGUAUGUAAACUUCGUAAAAAUGGGAAGAAUAAAUGACGGUACCAUUUGUAAGGUCCGGCUAACUACGUGCCAGCAGCCGC